Cannabis sativa is the source of this 802-nucleotide long non-coding RNA. RefSeq lists it as uncharacterized. The transcript has 4 exons. Lineage: Eukaryota; Viridiplantae; Streptophyta; Magnoliopsida; Rosales; Cannabaceae. The record is from RefSeq and is a predicted model, not a curated record.
CUGAAAAAAAUAAUAAUAAUAAUAAUAAAUAACCUCUCUCUCUCUUCUCAAACAAUCAGAUCACAUAACCUAAAAAAAACCCUAACUUUUCUCUUUAUCUCGCCUCUCUCUCUCUCUCUGUCGCACAACUCCCAGCCACCUCCGGUGACCUCGCCCACCUAUCCUUCUUCUCUCUUUCUUCCUCUCCGGCGGCCUAGACAUAUGGAGCGCCUCCCCUCUCUCUGCCCAGAUGCGCGACCUGCGCGUCGCCUCUCUCUCUGCCCAGAUGCGCGGCCAAAUCCCGUAUUGGUGGUCGAAUCUGACCACAAAAUCAAGCUCGACGCACGUAAAAAUGAAGACGCCGAAGAAGGAAAAGGCUCCUCCACCAUCAUCGAAGCCCGCUAAGUCAGGGGGAGGCAAGCAGAAAAAGAAGUUUGCAGGUGUAAGCAAAACUUCCUGGUGUAUGGUAUUGGUCUUGCUAUUUAAUUAAUGAAUGCAGCAAGAUGUCACCAUUAUUUAAAAUAAUGAUAUGUGUUGCAAAUAUAUACAAGGGAUGCUGGCUCGAUCUUAUGCGAGUUAGAUGCUGGUGAUGGAUAAAGUUGAUCUAUAAGAUUGCCCAAGAGCAAGACUACAAAAAGAAUGCAUCAGAUAUCUUUGUCAUAUUUUUACUGUUAUAUUUUUUUUUUUGGGUUUGUAGUCAUAAUUUUUUUUUUUACUGUUAUUGUAUUUUAUUUAUGUAUUUUAUUUACAUUAUACUUGUAUUUUUUUUGAAUCACCUAUUCUGUAUUAAUGCUAUUAAUUAUAAUAUAAUUAUUUUUGUGUA